UGAAUAUAAUAUAUCACUAUGGAUCCU
This 27-nucleotide non-coding RNA is filed under the name Rattus norvegicus (Norway rat). Lineage: Eukaryota; Metazoa; Chordata; Mammalia; Rodentia; Muridae. The record is from RNAcentral.